GCCCGGAUAGCUCAGUCGGUAGAGCAGGGGAUUGAAAAUCCCCGUGUCGGCAGUUCGAUUCUGUCUCCGGGCACCA
RNAcentral lists this transfer RNA (76 nucleotides) under Salmonella enterica subsp. enterica serovar Berta. Its description in RNAcentral is "tRNA-Phe". It matches the Rfam family "tRNA". Rfam says of the family: Transfer RNA (tRNA) molecules are approximately 80 nucleotides in length. Their secondary structure includes four short double-helical elements and three loops (D, anti-codon, and T loops). The record is from RNAcentral. RNAcentral also lists the same sequence under 54 other names. Lineage: Bacteria; Pseudomonadati; Pseudomonadota; Gammaproteobacteria; Enterobacterales; Enterobacteriaceae.